AGUCGAGCGAUCGACGGGAGCUUGCUCCCUGAGAUUAGCGGCGGACGGGUGAGUAACACGUGGGCAACCUGCCUAUAAGACUGGGAUAACUUCGGGAAACCGGAGCUAAUACCGGAUACAUUCUUUUCUCGCAUGAGAGAAGAUGGAAAGACGGUUUACGCUGUCACUUAUAGAUGGGCCCGCGGCGCAUAGCUAGUUGGUGAGGUAAUGGCUCACCAAGGCGACAAUGCGUAGCCGACCUGAGAGGGUGAUCGGCCACACUGGGACUGAGACACGGCCCAGACUCCUACGGGAGGCAGCAGUAGGGAAUCUUCCGCAAUGGACGAAAGUCUGACGGAGCAACGCCGCGUGAACGAAGAAGGCCUUCGGGUCGUAAAGUUCUGUUGUUAGGGAAGAACAAGUACCAGAGUAACUGCUGGUACCUUGACAGUACCGAAGCAGAAAGCCACGGCUAACUACGUGCCAGCAGCCGCGGUAAUACGUAGGUGGCAAGCGUUGUCCGGGAAUUAUUGGGCGUAAAGCGCGCGCAGGGUGGUUCCUUAAGUCUGAUGUGAAAGCCCACGAGCUCAACCGUGGAGGCGUCAUU
This 586-nucleotide ribosomal RNA is filed under the name Peribacillus frigoritolerans. Its description in RNAcentral is "bacterial SSU rRNA". It matches the Rfam family "Bacterial small subunit ribosomal RNA", at positions 60 to 627 of the family's 1533-position model. Lineage: Bacteria; Bacillati; Bacillota; Bacilli; Caryophanales; Bacillaceae. The record is from RNAcentral.